GCUAUGCUCUUCUAAUGGUUAGGAAAUUAGUUUGUGGCACUGACGAUCGAGGUUCGAUUCCUCGACGUGGCA
This 72-nucleotide transfer RNA is filed under the name Ophiocordyceps sinensis CO18. RNAcentral's name for it is "tRNA-His (GTG) (tRNA-His-GTG-2-1)". It matches the Rfam family "tRNA". From Rfam's summary of the family: Transfer RNA (tRNA) molecules are approximately 80 nucleotides in length. Their secondary structure includes four short double-helical elements and three loops (D, anti-codon, and T loops). Further hydrogen bonds mediate the characteristic L-shaped molecular structure. tRNAs have two regions of fundamental functional importance: the anti-codon, which is responsible for specific mRNA codon recognition, and the 3' end, to which the tRNAs corresponding amino acid is attached (by aminoacyl-tRNA synthetases). tRNAs cope with the degeneracy of the genetic code in two manners: having more than one tRNA (with a specific anti-codon) for a particular amino acid; and 'wobble' base-pairing, i.e. permitting non-standard base-pairing at the 3rd anti-codon position. Lineage: Eukaryota; Fungi; Ascomycota; Sordariomycetes; Hypocreales; Ophiocordycipitaceae. The record is from RNAcentral.